GGCAUUUACUGACGCUGAGGAGCGAAAGCAUGGGGAGCGAACAGGAUUAGAUACCCUGGUAGUCCAUGCCGUAAACGUUGGGCACUAGGUGUGGGGGACAUUCCACGUUUUCCGCGCCGUAGCUAACGCAUUAAGUGCCCCGCCUGGGGAGUACGGCCGCAAGGCUAAAACUCAAAGGAAUUGACGGGGGCCCGCACAAGCGGCGGAGCAUGCGGAUUAAUUCGAUGCAACGCGAAGAACCUUACCAAGGCUUGACAUGUGCCAGACCGCUCCAGAGAUGGGGUUUCCCUUCGGGGCUGGUUCACAGGUGGUGCAUGGUUGUCGUCAGCUCGUGUCGUGAGAUGUUGGGUUAAGUCCCGCAACGAGCGCAACCCUCGUUCCAUGUUGCCAGCACGUAGUGGUGGGGACUCAUGGGAGACUGCCGGGGUCAACUCGGAGGAAGGUGGGGAUGACGUCAAAUCAUCAUGCCCCUUAUGUCUUGGGCUUCACGCAUGCUACAAUGGCCGGUACAAUGGGUUGCGAUACUGUGAGGUGGAGCUAAUCCCUAAAAGCCGGUCUCAGUUCGGAUUGGGGUCUGCAACUCGACCCCAUGAAGUCGGAGUCGCUAGUAAUCGCAGAUCAGCAACGCUGCGGUGAAUACGUUCCCGGGCCUUGUACACACCGCCCGUCAAGUCACGAAAGUUGGUAACACCCGAAGCCGAUGGCCUAACCACCUUGUGUGGGGGGAGUCGUCGAAGGUGGGACUGGCGAUUGGGACUAAGUCGUAACAAAGGUAAC
Molecule: ribosomal RNA, 777 nt
Filed under: Glutamicibacter sp. BAB-5688
Lineage: Bacteria; Bacillati; Actinomycetota; Actinomycetes; Micrococcales; Micrococcaceae
Description: bacterial SSU rRNA
Rfam family: Bacterial small subunit ribosomal RNA
Source: RNAcentral